Molecule: non-coding RNA, 115 nt
Organism: Triticum aestivum (bread wheat)
Lineage: Eukaryota; Viridiplantae; Streptophyta; Magnoliopsida; Poales; Poaceae
Source: Rfam
CAGCUACUCCCUCCGUUCGGAAUUACUUGUCUCGAAAAUGGUUGUAUCUAAAACUAAAAUACGUCUAGAUACAUCCAUUUUCGUGACAAGUAAUUCCGAACGGAGGGAGUAUAUA